This 648-nucleotide ribosomal RNA is filed under the name uncultured Laccaria. RNAcentral's name for it is "eukaryotic LSU rRNA". It matches the Rfam family "Eukaryotic large subunit ribosomal RNA", at positions 1 to 632 of the family's 3401-position model. Lineage: Eukaryota; Fungi; Basidiomycota; Agaricomycetes; Agaricales; Tricholomataceae. The record is from RNAcentral.
UUGACCUCAAAUCAGGUAGGACUACCCGCUGAACUUAAGCAUAUCAAUAAGCGGAGGAAAAGAAACUAACAAGGAUUCCCCUAGUAACUGCGAGUGAAGCGGGAAAAGCUCAAAUUUAAAAUCUGGCAGUCUUUGGCUGUCCGAGUUGUAAUCUAGAGAAGUAUUAUCCGCCGCUGGACCGUGUACAAGUCUCCUGGAAUGGAGCGUCAUAGAGGGUGAGAAUCCCGUCUUUGACACGGACUGCCAGGGCUUUGUGAUAUGCUCUCAAAGAGUCGAGUUGUUUGGGAAUGCAGCUCAAAAUGGGUGGUAAAUUCCAUCUAAAGCUAAAUAUUGGCGAGAGACCGAUAGCGAACAAGUACCGUGAGGGAAAGAUGAAAAGAACUUUGGAAAGAGAGUUAAACAGUACGUGAAAUUGCUGAAAGGGAAACGCUUGAAGUCAGUCGCGUUGGCCAGGGAUCAACCUUGCUUUUGCUUGGCUUACUUUCUGGUCGAUGGGUCAGCAUCAAUUUUGACUGGUGGAAAAAGUUCAAUGGAAUGUGGCAUCUUCGGAUGUGUUAUAGCCUUUGUUCACAUACAUUGGUUGGAUUGAGGAACUCAGCACGCCGCAAGGCCGGGUUUUUAACCACGUACGUGCUAGGAUGCUGCAUA